AGAACAUAGGAUAUGAUAAUGAAUUUUCCAAUUCAAUGUUAGAAAGUCUCAAACGGAACUGCCUUCUUGUUCUCGAGUUAUUGAUCUCGAGACCUCUGUUGGGAAGCUUAUAGCUUAUCUCCUUAAGGUUUCGGCUUCGGCUGAUAUUUCGUUUUCGUAAUUGAGUUAUGAUGGCUUCGGCUGAGGGAGACGAAGCAUCGGUUGCGAGAGGCUUUAAUUUUUUGGGGUUUUCCCAUUUCAUUAAAGACUUUUGUAUCACCCUUUUGUUUUCUAACCAGUCACGACUGUUCACUUCAAUUAGUGUAGUGAAUUUUGAGUAUAUAUCGAUACAUGAUACGAACUGUUGGUUAUCUAUUACAUAGAAGUCUAUUACGUAACGUUCUCGGAUGAUUAAGACUUCCGUUGUUACUUCAAAUGGCAACUUGGUGUUUCUAUGCUCAGUCUUGGCAAUAUUACACGUUGUACAUUCGUUUAUAAUAUUUUGUAUCAAUUUUUGUUGGUCAGGGUAGUAGCAUUUUCCCUUAAACCAAAUGAUGGUUUUCUCUAUUCCAGGGUGAAGUAAUUCUUUACGGGUUUUCAUUAUCAAUUUAUUGAAUUCCGCGUAAUUGGGUAUAUCUAUGAGUUUUUAACUUGAUUUCAUAACUAUUGUGAAAUUGUUUGGACUGAUAAUUUCAAAAUACGCUUGUUGGAAAGUUGGGAAAUCAGUCUCGUUAUGGAAGUCUCUUUGGUACAUAGAUAUUCCUUAAUGAGUUCUUUAGCCAAGGGGUUGGUCAUUUCCUUGUAUGUGAUUUUGAUAAUCAAUUUAUGUAAAUAGUGUUGUGUAGUUACUUUAUCUUCAUCUCCCUUGAUCAACUCAAUCUUCCGAUGAAGUAGUUGAUUGGUCGUUCUGUAAUGGGAAUAUGAUUGAGAUUGUCUUCUUGCGCACUGUGUAUUGUGGCGCCUGCACCGUCAGAGAAUUCUCCGAGUAGGUUUUCGUUAACUUUAACUCGGGAAAGGGCGUCCGCUACAUGGUUUUUUUUGCCAGGUAGAUAUUUGAUUUUGAAGUCGAAUUCGUUUAAUUUGAUCGUCCACCUUUGUAGUUUCAUGUUUGGUUCUUUGAGGUGGUUCAACCUAAUACUAAGGGCUUAUGGUCGCUAAGUAUUUCGAAUGUUCUUCCGAACAAGUAUGAUCGGAAAUUGCUAACAAUUAUUUUUCGAUAGCGGAAUAAUUGAUCUCAUGUUCGUUCAGCGUUCGUAGCAGGCGUAGCAGAUCAGCUUAUGGUCUUGCUAUAGGACUGCACCUAUAGCCAUGUUACUGGAGUCGGUAGUAACAGAAAACAUUUUGGUAAAGUCUGGAUAUACAAGAAUUGGGUCUGAGGUGAUGAGUACUUUUAGUCUCUCGAAAUCCUCUCGAAUUCGAAGGAAUGAACUUCCUAUCAAAUCCGCAUAGUCCUAAGAAUGACUUGAUUUGUUUUGUGGUCUCGGGGAUGGGAAACCCUAUGAUGGCUGUGAUCUUGUUGGGAUACUAUUCUUUCGGGAGUUCUAUGACCUAGGAACUCAGUUUCUUUCUUCAGAAACUGACACUUAUCCAUUUGUAGCUUGAGGUUUGCGUCUCUCAGCUUGCCAAAGUAUUUUCUUAGUGACAGAGGGUGUUCGUCCAAUGAAGUGGAGAAAAUUAUUACGUCAUCUAAGUACACCAAACAGUCUGUGAAAAUUAAGGGGCGUUCGUUAGCGCAAAUGGCAUUCGAGUAUACUCGUAAUGACCAUGUUUCGUAGAGAAGGCCGUUUUCGCGAUCGAAUUAUGUUCCAUUGGAAUUUGAUGGAAAACUUUUGCCAAAUCGAUUGUGGUGAAAUAUUGGCACUUUCCUAAUUUGUCUAGGAUUUCAUCCAUUCUUUGAGUUGGAAACUUAUCCUUUAUGGUUAUCUCGUUGAGACCUCUAUAGUCUACGACUUUCCUGUACUUCUGUUUUCCGGAAGCGUCUAUCUUCUUCGGAAUCAUUGAAAUGGGGGAACAGUAAGGCGAUUUCGAUUUACGAAAUCCGUGCAAAAUCGUGCGAAAUCAUGUGCAAUACAGAGAUGGUGACAAUUUGAUCUCACAAGUACUGUCAAACAUCCAAUUCAAACACAAAAUGAAGAUGCGGGAUAUGACAUGACGAAGAAGUCACUAAUCAAAUCAAAGAAAUUAUUGAACAAGGAAUAAUUGUCAAAAGGUCAAAUUGUCACCAUCUCUGUAUUGCACAUCGCUUAAAUUUUUCUUUCUCUUCAUCGUUCAGAUGCUUUAGCCUUAGCUCGUGACAUUCCCUUAGUUCAUUAUCGAUAGCGGAAGUGAAGUAUUGAUCCCCUUCUGAGGAUGAGUCAAGGCGCUUCUGUGCGAUAUUAUCUUCUUCUGAAGAUGUAUUUUUGCACUUAUGUGCGGUCUUAACUUCUUCAAUUGCUUCUCCACUAAUAAUGAUUGGGAAUGUUCUUUCUCCUAACCUUACAGUAUUGUUACUUUAAUUGAUAUGGCUUUGCUAGCCAACAGAUAUUCUCUUCCCAAAGGGAUAUCUUAGUUGUCCGAGAAGUUAUACAGGUAGAACUUCUGCUCACUGGGACAGACUUUAUUGGGGAGCCUAUUAACCUAUACUUUUGGUUAACUUAACGGUCCGUUGAUGGUAUGGACCUUGAGGUUUUCUAUAUUUAUGGAGGCAUUAGGAAUGUUUUCUUUUAUGAUGUUUAUUGAUGAUCCAAAAUCCACGAUACAUCUAAGUAUUUAAUUAUUUAGUUUUAGGUUUAUAUAGGAUCCCCCUCGGUUUCUUCCGAGGCUGUUUGAUGAAAAUGUACAUCCAUUUUCAUCUGGUCGCCUUGGCUUUCUCGAAUCCUUUAGUAGGUUGAUUGGGCCUGCUGCCACUAGCUUGGUUUUGAUUCAUUUGAUAAUUCACAGGAUUUUGUGCUUGACCUUUAUUCAAGGAGUUACGAAAUUCCUGUUGCAGUCCAGGAUUGUUAUUAUUGUGCCUAGAUGUACCUGAACAAAAUGGAUUCUGAGCUUGUUGUGUAUUGCUACUUAAGUUUGGGUAAUAAUUCCCAUUAUUCUUCUAAGCGGACCGCUGCGGUUUAUGCUGAUCUUUAUUGGUAUUCUUAUCUUAAAUCUUAACUUCCUACAAGCCUUCUUAUUGAGCUGCCUUUUUAAGUUUAGACAGUGUUGUUAUGUCUUUUCGGACUAAUGUCAUAAAGGUCCCAUCUGUGAGUUUACGCGAUAUUACAUCUUUAAUUGUAUUAUUUAAUGCGUUUUGAUAGAUCAAGGUGUUGGCUGCACUGUUUUCUAAUGCUAGCUUAUUAGUAACUACAAGGACUUUAGUUUCUAGAUCUUCGAUAAACUUAUUUUCCCAUUGAAUUUUGUGAAGUAGAUUUGUCUCAGAAGUUCUUCGUAUGGUGUGUGGUUCUUGAAUUCGUCUAUUAGAGCAUUCUUCAGCUCCAGCCAGGUGUUGGGUUGCACCAUUUGUGAGAAUCCUUGUGCUUCUUCGGUCAGCUGAAUCGGGUACAGUUCUUGUAUGUACUCAACGCGUUUGAUGAAGGAGCUCAGCUUUCCAGCUGAUCCGUCAUAGGCUGGCACUUGUCGACCGUAGUGCUUGGUUUAGGUGAAUUUCACUAAGGGUUGCAAUUGGUAAUGCCAUUUUGAUUUGUAAUUAAUUUUAGUUCACUUCACGUGUGUUUCACUCAAUGGAUUAUUUAGUUGUUGGUUUAUUCAAAUCAUUGCUGUUGGUGAUUUAUAUAAUCGUUGCGAUUUUGGUUACACAAUUAUUGUUUUGUUUAACGUUUGUGUUUGGCUAGUGCUACGUUGCACCUACGUUCUUUGGCGGAUUCACGUGGUCUAACUAGCUUCGAUAAUCUCCAGUAAUCUAGUUGUUUAGAUUGCUUCUAAUAUAUUAGUACCGGAACAAUAACGUUAGUGUUUGUGAAUCCUACCGGCUGCGCCAAUAAGAAUUCCCGAGUUCAAAAGUAGUUUUUUUAAAAAGAUAUUUUAUUUAGCCGAACUUAUAUAAUAGAACAUGGGAUAUGAUAAUGACUUCCCCAACUCAAUGUUGGAAAGUCUCAAACGGAACUGCCUUGUUCUCGAGUUAUUGAUCUCGAGACAUCAGUUGGGAAUCUUAAAGCUUAAGCUUUCGGUUUCGGCUAAUAUUUCGUCUUCGUAAUUGAGUGAUGAUGGAUUCGGCCAUGGUGAAAUUACUAAUAAGGUGACGGAUUCACCACAGUGGCUUCUCAUUGGAGGCCCACCAGCUUGUCAGUCGUUUGCCAAACGUCGACGAAAGAGGUUGUGUAGCGCACGAUUUUUUCAUUGUCUUCUUCUUUUUCUUUAUUGUUUACGAAUGAAGACGCAAGCGGACAACAAUGAAAUAUGCAUGCAACUACUAUUUUAUUUUGGGUGUGUAAAGGAAUGUGUAUGUGAUUGAAUCUUUAUUCAAUUAAAUCUUUUUUAGAAUCUCUCCAAAUCUUUACUUUGCUGUUAGCAGAAACAAUAAAAGCGAAGAGUGCAGAAUGUAAAACGUUUGCUAUCUCUCUCGAGCACUUGCCUCUCUGAUAGCUGAGAGAGCUUGGUGAAUAAGCUGGUGGUCCUCCACUCAGCUGACGACGUCACCUUGUUAGUAAUUAUACCAUGGUGAGGGCGUACUUACAAAUACAAAAAGCACAAAAACACGACUAAACGACGCAUAAGGCAUGCACUGGCGUAUCAGGACAGGUUAAAGUUGUAACGCAUUCAGUAUGCAAAUUUAGAAAUUAUUUUGAAAAAUUUUGAACACCGGUCGUUUAUACAAAAUAGAAAAGAAAGUACGGAGCCCAAAACAAAAACACGUCUGGUCACUACGAAAGAGAACGAUGGUUGUCUCUUCGUCUCCCUCAGCCGAAGCCAUGGUGAAAUUACUAAUGAGGUGACGUUGUCAGCUGAGUGGAGCAUGGUGAAAUUGGAUCUACAAUUUUGAAGAUAAAAUAAAACUAAAAACGCCAUUCCGUAGGGAAUCAGAUUACCAAAUUGGGAUCCGAUUGGAUUAUUAUUAUAGCCAGAAUGAAGAAAUUAAUUUGCAGUGGCUAAGCCCACCCUUUUCUUUUUUGUAUGUAUAGGAGGGAAAAGCAUUGAAAGCCGAUAAGUGUGGGACUUGGAAUUACCUCACCCACUAAAAACGCCCCUACUCUCCGUAUCCCUCUCGCGGUACGACCGUUAAGUAUUACUUAGCGAGGGGGAGAUGCCAUGAAAGCCGUCACUAGAUCCUAUCUAGGAUUUGAAUUUCGAUUCCGCUGUCUUUCAGCGCGAAGCAAGGAUUGGAUGAUCUCUGCAGCGUAGGUGCUCACGGCAUCCGAAUUGUUUUGCGAGCUAAGUAGGAUAUCCAUUAAGUCAUUGACUAUAAAUGGCCUCCCAAUGUCUAGGCUUAGCUCUUCCCAGUCAGCAGAGAAUCUUGGACAGACAAAAAAUACAUGUUCAGCGUCUUCUAUGGUCCGUGCACAGUGCGUACAAAACGGAUCCGACUCGCAUUCAAAUUUAUGUACGUAGAAUUUAAAGCACCCAUGUAAUUUUCAAAGCUGCGUUAGGUAAAAGUUAGUCUCCCCAAAAGUUUUACACAGCCAGGGCCCUAUGUCCGGGACUAUGCGUAUGCUGCGUCCAUAUACCGUUGGGUGUGUUACGCCAUCGCUCCUGCCAUCUAUGUUGAGUCUCCGCCUCGCGGAUUGCCUGGUCUUCGAUGGUGGUUCCAGCGGCGAGAAGGUCGAUUGGCGCCAUGCCGGCCAAUACUAGGGCCGCCUCUUCGGAGACGGUGCGGUAAGCGCUAAUGACUCUCAGUACACCUCUUUGGUAGGCCGCUUUGCAGGUGCGGCUGUACGUUGGGAGCUCCAUAGCUGGUGCCCAUAUUUGAGCAGCGUACAUAAUGAUGGCUCUGACAACAGAGCAGAUGAGCAGUCUGCUCCUCUGUCUUGGACCGCCGAUGUUGGCCAUUAUGGCGGAUAGCACGCUUGCUGCCCUGCCGGCUUUGACUCCGGUUUCUUCCAGGUGCUGCUUGAAGCUAAGCCUGUGGUCCAGAUGGACUCCCAGGUACUUGAUAGCCGGGGACGACUCGAUUUCGUCUGUUCCAACAACCACUCUAACCAUCUCUACCUUUUUCCUGGUGCUAAUCAGGACCGAUUCGGGUUUGUGCGCUGCUAGGCUGAGGCCGUUUUCCUGGAGCCAGCACAUCACUCGUCUGACUGUCCCAUUCGUGUUCUCCUCUACUUCAGUUAGGGUUUUACGUACCGCUACUACCGCGAUGUCGUCUGCGAAGCCAACGAUGCUGCAGCCGGCUGGUGUGUCCAGUCGUAGGAUGCCAUCGUAGCGGGCAGAGAACUGUGGAACGCCUCCUGUAACUUGUCGUCGUUUUUGUCCCGUCGAGGUGUCGAACAGCAACACUCUGUUUUUGAAAUAACUAGCUACUAUGCCCACCAGGUACUCAGAUACACCAAUUCUGGAGAGGGCGGCAAUGAUGCUUGGCCAUCUCGCAGAGUUAAUGGCAUUUUUUACAUCUAGUGUAGUUACCAGGCAGUACUUCUUGGUGCCACCUUGCCAUCUCUUCACUGCUCUGAUCGCGUCGGGGGUGCUUCUCCUCUUCCUAAAGCCGAAUUGGAGUUCAGAUAGUCCCUGUAGGCUGUCAAUUUCCGCUUCUAGCCGAUUUGCGAUGAUUCGCUCGAACAGCUUCCCCGUUACGCUGAUCAUGCACAGAGGCCUGUAUCCUUCCCAGUCUUUGGUAGAAGCACUAGCCUCUGGAGCUUCCAGCCCGUGGGGAAGACUUGCUCAUGCAGGCAUUGGUUAAAAGUCUUCGCUAUCGCUUCCGGGUAUGUUGUGGCUAUCGCCCGGACUGCUAUGACGGGUAUACCGUCGGGCCCUGGCGCUUUGCCGAUCUUCAUGCUCUUAGCCGCUUUUAACAGCUCUUCCGCACCGAUCUGUGGAGGUGUGGGGGUCACCCGGUGUCUGGGCACGUAGUUCCUGUUGCGUGGGGAAAAGUGCAUCCACGAUUCUGGACAAUAAUUCCGGGCAGGUGGGCAUUACCUUGCGCGCCAGUUUGCCCAUCACCAUCGUGUAGGCUAGGCCAAAAGGCUGCAGGUCUGCCUCCUUGCAGAGGUCCUUCCAGCAGUUUGCUUUGCUUCGUUUGAUCUCCUUGGUGAGAUGUGCCCGUUGUUGGUGGUAGAUGGGGUGCGCUUCUGCCGCUUCCUGGGCUGCUUGGGGGUCUUGUGGUCUCCGCCUUGCUGUUUUCAUGGUCUCCGCAGAUCCGCUAUUUCCUGCGACCACCAGUGCACUGGCUUUCGCUUCCUUCCCCCCAUUUGCUUUUUUACCAUGGCGGCUUCGCAGGCAGUCUCCAUUGCUGUACCUAGCGAUUUUGCCUGCUCUGCAUUCCCGUGUACACUUUCGCUGCUUUGACGGAACAUGAGGAGCAGGCACUGGGUGUCCAUGUCCUCCGUUUUCCUAGCUGUGCGCCUUAUGGUUGCGGUGGGUCCGUCGUCGAUACAGCACGUUAUGGCCCGGUGGUCACUAUGCGUAUAUACACUUGCAACCUUCCAGGUGGCUCUCCGUGCCAGUUAGGGGCUGGCGAAUGUAACGUCGAUUACCGAUCCGCGGUCAUCCUUUACGUAUGUUUGUGUACUUCCUUUAUUCAGGAGCACCACACUCAGGGUCGCGAACACAUCAAGUAGGACGCUUCCUCGUGCGUUCGUCCUUGUGCUUCCCCACUCGGUCGGCGAUGCGUUGAAAUCGCCAGAAAUGAUCACUGGGGAACGACUACGUGCAUCUUCCGCUAGGUCUUCUAGUAUGUUGGCGAACUCAUCCGGUUGUAUGCUCGGUGCAAUGUAGCAGCUGUAUAUGUGGAUGCCAGCAAUCUUUGCUCUGACGUACCCCACUGACGUAUGCCGGGCGCUUAAGCCUUGUGGCGAGGUUCCACAGCUCCAGAUAACUGCUCCAUAAUUAGAGUUUGUUUUCUGUAUCUAUACGUCUGGUGGCAUCGCUAGGUGUGGCUCGCUCAAUAUGGCGACGUCGACGUCCUCUUCUUUCAUCGUCUGCAUGAGCAGGUCCUGUGCCGCUCUGCAGUGGUUCAAAUUAAGCUGCAGGAACUUAAUUUUGCCCAUUAUUGUAUGAAUUUGCUGCCUUAACAUAUAAAGGGCAUGCCCUACUGAGGGUGCCAUGUGCCGUGUCCUUUAGCCCUGCUCUUGUGCAUAAGAUGCAGGCGGGCAUCUGUUUGCAAUCCCUCGAGUUGUGCUGCGUACCUCCACAAUUAAAGAAUUGGCUUGUUUCGUCGUGGCUACUUCUGCAUCUUGCCGCGAUAUGUCCGAAUGCUAGGCACUUGAAACACCUCCUGGGUUCGUUCUUCUGCCGGAUUCGGCAUACCGACCAUCCAAUGCGAACUUUUCCCUCGUGAAGCAGCUUGUCCGCUGUUUCUUUGGGUAGAAGAAUGUUCGCUGUCAGCGUUCCACGGUAGGCUUUCCAGAGUUUCGGGACUGACUCGGUCGGCAAGUCUCCGUCUAUCUUAGCGAAUAUGACUUCGAGCACUUCUUCCGGCGUUUUCCACUCCGAUAUGUCCCUAACCUCAAUCAAAACCUUCUCGGAGAUAGCCUUGACCUCAGCAAUAUUGCCCACCUUCGUCUGGAAUGCCUUGAGUAGUUUUGCAGUGGCGGCUAAACCCACCCUGUCCCGCAGCUUUUGUUGUUUUUUUCACAUUCUCUCAUUCACACUCUGCUUCUGUUUCACUCGGCCUCUGCCUCUGCCGUCCCUCUGCCUCUGCCUACUUUUAACCCACCCCGUCCCGAGGCUUAUAUUUGUUUUGUUUUUGUGUGCGGGCGCUGCCUUUGCCUUUGACGCGAGUCUGCAGUGCGUGUUGGUGUUUAAAAUUUGCCGGGUAUAAAAGUUGUGACGCGUAAGAAGCGUCUCACACGUCCCUUCUCGUUUAUUUAUAUAUUUAAUAUAAAUAAUAGAAAUAAUGGAAUACGUGGUUGUGUGUUCCGCUAAGACUUGCAAGAAGCAGAUAAACCACGACCAGCCGAGCAUCCCUUGCUGGCUCUGCGAUAACGUAGUGCACGCAAAAUAUAUUGGGUUUUCAGGCCUCGUGGGUGACUCAAUUGCAAAGCGUAAUGGUCUACAUUACAGUUGCUAGGCGUGUCGGUCUGUUGAGAAUGACAUGGUCACGUUUAUGAGGCAGACGCGAAAGGUGGACGCAAAAGACGCGACCGUGGGCUUUAACAAGCAGUACGAUCGGCUUCUAGCCAUGGAGUCCCAAUUCAGCGGUUUUAAACUGCUGAAUUAGAGUCCUAGGCGCAAAAAAGUCACUCCUCGUGAUCUGCAAGUGACUGUCCCCCCAAGGGCAACGACAACUGCUGGUGAUCAAGUUUCGGCUACCAAAUCGAUCAUCUCGAAGAACAUUCCGCCAGUUAGUAAUGUAGCGUCCGUGUUUGUCGAGUCCGUUCCAAAGCCACAUCAUAUCCCAUCUAUUUCGAUCCCACCAGUAAAUAAACGUCCCGGACCACCAAAUAUUGCCGUCACAGGUACCAGAUCUGUGGUGCCAAAACCUCUGGUGGGAGUCCCACCAAAGCGGCAAGUUUUUGUCUCUCGGCUUCCCCUGACCUCACAUCUAAUGAUGUAACUGCUUUUAUACAAAGCAAAAUAAAAGCCGAUGGCUUAAAGGUGGAUAAGUUUAAUUUCUCUUAUGCCAGGGAGAUAUCCUCUUUCAAGAUUAGCGUGUCUCCAACUCAAUUCGAGACCAUUUGCUCUUCCAAAUUUUGGCCAGAGCACCUAGUGGUGAAAGAGUUUAAGGCUAAGAAGAAAAAUGGGCCCCCCAUAACUCUUUCUAGUAGUGCUGGAAGUGGAUGGAGUGGAUGGAGCAGAGGAAGAAGGAGCACUGGCCUAUUCCUCCUCUGCUCCAUCCACCUUUUCCCACUGCAAUUCCUCGCAGUCAAAAAACUAAUUUCCCUCUUUGUAGCCUAUAAAAUGCUCGCGGUUUACGUAGUAAGCUGAGCACUCUUUUUAUGGAUGUUUUAUGUUUACCGAUACCUGGUUAAAGCCGGACAUUAUUAGUUCCGAUGUUUUGGCAGAUCGGUACACAAUUUAUAGGAAUGAUCGUUCGUCUCGACGUGGAGAAGGGGUUCUGAUUGCAGUAAACUCUUACUUUACGUCGGAGCCUUUCAUAGUUCAGGUUUCACAAGACCUGGAAUUCCUCUGUGUCAGACUGAUUCUUCCCGGUCAGUAUAUUUAUGUAACUUGCUCGUAAUAUACGAGCAGCACUUGUCCGCCUUAAAAACUGUUUCUUCCUCGCUAUCUGAUAAAGAGCAUAGUUCUUUCAACCUGCCAGGUAACGAGUCUAAUAACCUUGUGCCCAUGUCACGACAUGAUUUUAUUGAUGGCUUAUUAGACCUGCCCCUGUCUCAAGUCAACCAUGUAAAAAACUCCUUGGGUGGAUUGCUUGAUCUGUACUUUGUCGUGGAUCCGACCGUAGCGUUGGUAACACUCCGGUUACUCCGGCUCACUAUACCUGAAGACUGCUAUCAUCCUACUUUCGAAGUGUCGGUAGAUAUUGCACCUACUGUAUCGGAUCGUGCGGGUAGGCUAUCUGAACGCGUCCGCUGCAUUCUUAAAGUCGAGUUUAAGAAGCUCAAUAACUUAAUUAGGGCUUAUGAUUGGUCCGCUCUGUACUCGUGCACUGACGUUAUUGAAGGCACAAACAUUUUUUACAAUGUACUGGAGAUAAUUUUUGACACGUGUGUCCCACUUCCAUGUCCGAGUAGAUCUGCGAAACCUCCUUGGUUCGUCAAAGAGUUAUCCAGUCUAAAGAACCUAAAAUCAAGACUAUUUAAAAAAUCUCAAGAAGUUGGUUCUCCCUCUUAUCUUUCCAACUACUUAAUAGCUCGGUCAAAUUUCACUGUUCUUAAUGCUCAAUCCUAUAGGAACUACCUACUUCGAUGCAGGAUACGUUUUUCACAGGACCCUAAACAGUUCUACAGCUUUUUAAACAGUAAGCGUAGAACAUCUACACAUCCAUCCUCGCUGUCAUUUUUGAAUAUGUCGUCAAACAAUGAUCAGGCACUCGCCGAUCUUUUUGCAAAAUUUUUUCAAACCACCUGUUCUCAGGAAAGCUACCCAGGUCAUAUGUAUCCAUAUAGUUUACCAAGGUCGAAUGGAAUUUUCUUCCCUUUGUUUAAUGAAGGCUCCUUACUUCAUGAACUGCAAUUAGUUAAGCCGGUAUAUUCACCGGGCCCUGACGGAGUUCCCGGCUAUGUACUCAGGUACUGUGCCGAGUCUCUGUGCGUACCCUUGCUUAAACUAUUCACUCUAUCCAUCCAUUUUUCUAGCUUUCCACCCAUUUGGAAAGAAUCCUUUAUAAUUCCUCUCCAUGAGAAAGUUAGCAAGUCUGAUGCUGAAAACUAUAGAGGUAUAGUAAAGUUAUCCGCUAUUCCUAAAAUGUUCGAGACAUUUUUAACUCCGCACUUGCAACAUCUCUGCAAAUCACUUAUAACUUCAGGUCAGCACGGAUUUAUACGGCGACGAUCAAUAACCACUUAUCUUUUAGAGUUCACCUCCUUUGUCAUUAAAGGAUUCCAGGGUAACUUGCAGACGGAAGUUAUUUACACUGACUUCAGUAGGGCAUGUGAUUAUGUAAACCAUUCUCUUCUUGCACAAAAGCUCGACCUUCUAGGGUUCCUGCCCAAUCUUUGGAGAUGGAUUUCUAGCUACCUGUGUUCUAGGUCUCAAAGGGUCCUUUACAAAAACUCCUUAAAUUUACCUCUUAUUUUUACUUCUGGAGUACCACAGGGUAGCCAUUUAGGCCCCUUAGUUUUCACACUCUUUAUUAACAAAUUCUCGAGUACUUAUGUAUGCGGAUGAUGUUAAGCUCUGUGUCCAGUAUAAAGACAUUUCAUUUCACUCUCGCCCGCAAUCUGAUCUCAAUAGCUUUCAGUCAUGGUGCUGUGCAAAUAUGUUACAACUUAAUGCCUCGAAGUGCAAUGUAAUGACUUUUUAUCGCUCCAGCCCCUUCCUGACUCCUUACACCCUCUGCGGUAGUUAUCUUGAGAGAAUUACAUUUGUUGAUGAUCUAGGUGUUAAACUAGACCCCAAGUUAAAGUUUUCUGAACACAUUUCUACCAUGGUUAAUAAAACCAUGGUUGUGCUUGGGUUUAUAAAGAGGUGGUCAACGGAAUUUUAUGACCCCUAUAUAACGAAGACUCUCUAUAUCUCGCUUGUUCAUCCGAUUUUAGAAUACGGCUCAAGUGGAUGGUGCCCUCAGUACAACAUACAUCAGGACCGUAUGGAAUCAGUACAAAAAAAGUUUUUAUUAUUUGCCUUACGGGGCCUCAACUGGGAUGAAACUGUGAGACUGCCAUCCUACCGUAGUAGACUUCUUUUAAUAAAUCUUCCAUCCUUAGUUAGUCGUAGAAAAAUGCUUGGUGUAAUUUUUAUGCACAACUUUUUAAAGGGGAAAUUAGACAGCCCUGACUUCCUGAGCCGCAUAAACUUUACGAUUCCCGUUACAACCACUAAAAACCAUAUUCCUUUGUUCCUUCCACUAUGUAGAUCGAAUUCUGCCUUGCACGAACCCUUUAGGGUUUAUGCUCGGAUUAUAAUUCCCUCUACCACAUUAUAUCCUCAACUAGCUCCCUUCCUCUUCUUAAAUCUCUUAUACUAGCCUACCUCUCCCUAAGUUAGUUAGCAUUUUAGUUUUGUCUUGUUUCAGAUUUUGGUCAUUUUUUCUUGCUUAGCUAUAGUAGCUCUAGUCUAGUUGUGUUUAGUUCUAAUUUUCCUCGAAUAUUAGCCUAACAUCUAUCUUUCCUGCAUGCUCGCGACCGGUUUGGUUAAUCGCGCCGCUCGUAUUGCGGCAGAGCCCCUCGGUCGGUUGGGCGGGAGGAGGGCUGCGUUCUGAUGUGUUCCGCGCGUAACAGGCUUUGGCUUGGUGUCGCAUGGGCCACUUGAUGGUGCAGUCAUUGCAUAUCAACGUCCAGACAAAAGAAAACGAGGAAGGACGUGUGAGACGCUGUAAGAGAUUGGAUCAUUAUUAUAGCCAGCAUGAAGAAAUUAAUUUUCAGUGGCUAAACCCACCCCGUCCCGCAGCUUGCUUUUGUUUUUGCACAUUCUCUCAUUCACACUCUGCUUCUGCAGUGUGCGGCCUCUGCAUCUGCAGGUACAGAUGUUCUACUGAGUAGCGGGUAUAAAAGUGGUGACGUCUCACACGUCCCAUUUCGUUACAAUUUUAAAUUAUACACUUGUUCUACAUACAUAUGUUUGUGAUUUACAUCACUUCUCACGCCAAUACGCUAUUUUAGUUCGCACCCUCCCCUAGAGCCGCACACUGCAUGUAGCAGAGUGUAGAAUAAGAGAAUGUGCAACAAAUAAAAAAAUCUGCUGGACGAGCCACUGCAAAUUCAUUUCUUCAUUCAGGCUAUAGUAAUGAUCCAAUCUGAUCUCAGUACGGUGGUCGAUAGAUAUGGUAAUUUCCUACGGAAUGGCGUUUUUAGCUUUGUUUUAUCUUCAAAAUUGUGGAUACCGCAGAUUUUUUAUUUUGCGGGGGCGGAAGGGGGCAUGGCGAAAUGUUGAAACACACUUGUAACAGUGUGUGCAUACCGCCAUCUGUAUACAAAAUUAGAUGGCUCUAGCUUUUAUAGUCUCUGAGAUCCAGGCGCUCAACAAGACGGACAUGGCUAUAUCGACUCGGCCAUUGACGCUGAUCAAGAAUAAAUGUAUGUAUAUACACUUUAUGGGGUCGGAAACGUUUCCUUAUGUGUGUUACAUACAUCCACUUUCCACACAAAUACAAUAUACCCUAUUUACUCUUCGAGUACCGGGUAUAAAAAUCAAUGAAAUAGAACAUUCAGUACUAUAAUCAAACUAAAAUAAUAUUUAUAAAUAUCCCUAAACAGUCUAACACAGAAAAAAAUGAUAUCCCACUGCGUAGCUGUUACGAUAAAUUUUAAGUUUAACCUUUUUUACAUUCAAGAACUAAUUUAUAAGAAAUGUAAUUACUCUAAUUGGUGUUUACCCAGGCAUAAUCGUUAAAAAUCCGAAGUCGCUUUUCGGCUUUAAAAGUGACAAAUAUAAUAAAUAUUUUAGCAACUUGAUUGGGUGACGAUCGCUAUCCAUAAUUGAUCAUCAUUAUCUGGUGAUUCGAACUACCUACCAGUAAUGCAAUGCAAAUAAAAUCAAACCAAAAUGUCCGAUAAAGAUAAGCAAAAUUUUUCCAAUUCUAAAGUAUACAUACAUUAAAAUAUAUAAAAAAGUAUGUUCAUCCUUAUUAC
RNAcentral lists this long non-coding RNA (14234 nucleotides) under Drosophila guanche. Lineage: Eukaryota; Metazoa; Arthropoda; Insecta; Diptera; Drosophilidae. The record is from RNAcentral.